This 585-nucleotide long non-coding RNA is filed under the name Musa acuminata (dwarf banana). RNAcentral's name for it is "long non-coding RNA (MACU_LNC003011)". Lineage: Eukaryota; Viridiplantae; Streptophyta; Magnoliopsida; Zingiberales; Musaceae. The record is from RNAcentral.
UUCAGUCCUUGAUUUAUUCUCUGCUCUUCUUCCCAUCAUGGGGAGGCUCAUUGCAGCCACCCUCUUCCUCCUCAUCUUCACACUCCUGCAUUCCUCCCAUGCGUGUCCCAAAUGUCCAUAUCCCACUCCCUCCAUCCCACACCCUAAGCACCACCCGAAGCACCCUCCCAAGGUGAAACCCUACCCUAAGCCCAAACCUCACCCUCCAAAGCCACCAGUAGUUGGCCCUCCUAAACCUCCUCCGGUUGUCCCACCACCACUCCCACCUGUAGUUGUUCCCCAACCUCCUCCCUAUGUGAAGCCUCCGCCUGUGCCGCCCGUUGUCGGUCCACCCAAGCCUCCUCCGGUGGUGUACCCCCCCGUGCCGCCUGUUGUCGGUCCACCCAAGCCUCCUCCGGUGGUGUACCCGCCCGUUCCGCCCGUUGUCGGGCCACCCAAGCCUCCUCCGGUGGUGUACCCGCCCGUUCCGCCUGUUGUCGGGCCACCCAAGCCACCUCCGGUGGUGUACCCACCCCAGCCGUGCCCGCCGCCGCCGCCGCCGCCGCCCAAGGAGACAUGCCCGGCGGACACGCUGAAGCUGGGAGC